CCUGUCAGAAAGCAUGACAAAAAUAAUACUCUUAAUUGUGUUUUUUCCUGGUCUCUGCAAGAAUCAAAUCAGCCUAGAACACUGGCUUUCAACCUCUGUGGUCCACAGACCCCUGGGUACCCACAGAACACUUCUAAGAGGUCCACGAAAGAUGACUGUGAUCUGUCAGAAGUAUGUAAAUAACCCCACUUACAAUUCAAAGGGGUCUGCACCUCCAUUCAAAAUUUCCAAAAGGGUCUGCACUCCAUUUGACAUUUUUUAGGGGUCCACAAAUGAAUGCAGGUUGAAAAUCACUGGCCUAGAACACGUACAGACACCUGUCAAGAUGCAGGGAAUGAGGGGCAUUGGCAUAAUAUAGUAAGAUUAAGAUUUUACCCUCAUCCUCAUUCACCUGCCCCUUCUUUUUUUAAGUUUGCUGGAACCAUGCCACACUAGAGAUCAUUUCUUCCUGUUGCGUUCCUCCAGCAUGAACUCUGUUGGUGACAUUGUACCUACUGUAGAACAUCAGAGAGGAGUUUAGACAAGAAUGGACUUUUACCCCUAAAUGUCAGGUUUGUAAAUGUUAUAAGUGUAGAUAGUGAAUGUAGUCCAGACUCAUGACCUGACUCCUAAAUUAAGUUGCAUCCCUUCAACCUACAUGAAUUUAAAUACAGCAGUUUUCUGGUGCUCCAUUACAGAGAAGUAACACAUAUAACCACUGGUGCAGCACAGCGUAACCUAAGCUUUUAAUUCUUUGGGGACUGAUCUUUGUGGUCCAAGCAGGCCUCUUCCAAUGCUAUUUACUAUGUUUGGGGGGGACCCAACUUAUUGUACACCCCAAAAGCAACACAGACAAAAGCACUUGCCUCUUCCAUCCCUGACACCAAACAAUGGCAGAGCAGGGAAAAGCCCUGAGCUAAUACAGGUCUGUUCCAUGCAAAGCAAUGGUGACAGGGGACUCCCAACCAGUGCAUAUAUUCUGUGUAAGGGCUUUGAGUCCAGCAGACACUCUGGGACUCCAUGUCCCCUUAGCCUCCCAAAUGACCUGUGAUCCCCACCACCAAGUCACUUAAGAAUGCAAGUUACUCGGAAGGAAUAAGUUAAAAUGAAGCAGCUUCCUAGGAAUGAAUCAUGCCCUUCCCUUCAAUCCCUGAUGGGAUGAGCCCAAGGAUAAAUAAACUGAAUGUCCCCACUCAUGUAUAGAAGUGGGCAGCAUCAGCUGUGGGUAGUUAGGCAUUCUAGCUCCUGCUGACUGAAGAAUGAAGACCCAAGCUCUUCCACAAGGAUCAAGUCCUUUGCUUCUCAAACCACUUACCAGAAGAGGAGGAGCCCCAAGAUGCUAUGAAUAGAUUCUAUGAAUCUAUGCUGAAAAAUCAGCCUAUCCCCUACCAGAGGUCAAGUUGCUACAAAAAGACAUUAACUGUGUCAGGAAUAAAAAGACAUCACAUCAUGAGACUACAACAGAACAUCAGAGAAACAUGAAAAUGUAAUCUGGAAAAGGGUCUCCAAAUCCUACACCAAUUGCCCAGAUCCUUGGAAAGGGGAACCUUCCACUCAAGCUCAAGAAAAAACUGUUGUCACUCCAAACACAACUGCAAUAAUGUCUAGGAGAGUUGUACCAAGAGCUAAAACCCAACCUGAAAACUGGUAAUAGGAGAGCUGGAAUAGCUGCUCAGGUGCCAGUUGCUAGGACGACCAGAGGGAGCCAGUGUCCCACACCUGCUAGCGGUCAGCUGACCAGAAGGGGAGGGCCUGGCUCCCAUUUAAACACUAGGACUGAAGACAAGGGGGCAGUUCCCUGUCAGCAGCCAGGAGCUCUCUGUUGUGGGAGAAAGGAGAAGCUGGAUGCAGGAGCAGCAUCUGACACGGCUGCAAGAUGAAGAAUCCCUGGUAGGCUUGAAUGUUAUGGCCAAGCGGCUUCUGUGUAUGUUAUAGCCAAGGGCUUGCAUUUUGGUUUACUGUUUGUCACCGGUGGUUUGGGUGAGGCUAUUAGGGGUUGGAGGAGGCCUCAUAGGGGACCCACAGCAGUGUGGGAACCCCAGCGCCAGUGAAGGUGCGGCAUUUGGGGUGCACUGACCCCAGCCCCAGAGAGGGGCAGUUGAGAAGGCCCAGAGAAGGGGGCAGCAUUGCCUCAAGACAAUAGAAAAGGCUAGAGCCUCGGAGUCAAACCCUGUUUGGUGGGUUUAGACAGGGAGGCCUAGCUAGAGAAAACCAGGGGACAGUCUCACAUAGGGGAAAGGCCCCAAUAUACCCAAUAUAACAGGCAGCCUCCCACUCGCAAGAACAUCAUCAUAAUUUCCAUCAAGACGUGGCAGUAAGGUUGAGCAGAACUCCACAGGCGGAAAAGCAUACAUCUUGAUGUUUGGCAUCGAGCAAAGCAAUCAUGAACUUGUAGACUGGAUUGUACAGCAGGAAACAAAAUUACCCCCAAGAAGAUGGACUUGUAUUGCAAAGGGUAUUAUACAAAUGGAACAAUACACUUAUUAAAUUCAUAUGCUCAGAGAAGGAGCCAGAACCACCUGAAAAUGUUACCAGAUACCAUGUUAGCACAACGUUGCCAGAACUGCCUAAGGCAGGGGUGGGCAUUAUUUCAGCUGGCAGGCCACUUAACGAGUUUUGAUGAGCUGUCGAGGGCCACACACAAAAUCUUUCAGAAGAUAUCAUUUUAACAAAUUACAGAUAAAAAAAAUCGUAUAUUAAAAAUCAAAUCUCUAUAUUUUAAUUUUAUUUUAAAAUAUAUUUGUGUCCUGAUUUAUGUUUUUUUGAGUAGUGUAUAUAGAGAUGAUUGAAUAAUAGCUCAAAAUAAAGUCUUACUCUUGUAUAUUGUGUGUUUAGGGUGCGGGGUGGUGUGUGAGGGGCUGCCUGUGUGCUAGGUGACAGGAGCUGGCCAGGGUGGUGGAGGGAAGAGGCGGCAGGGGGCACGUGCAGCAGAACUCACCCAGGUGGUACAGUGCAGGUGUGGCCUGCCCUCUUCCCCACAUCCCCCAUCCAAGUCAUGGCUGCCCUCCAUGGUGCACUGCAUGGGGCUGAGCCCCACCCACUCCCACCUGGGGCAGCCCGCAUUGUGCGUCUGCCCACACCCACCAAUCAUACUGGCCAGCAUGCACAACUUGCCAGUGGAGUUGCCAUCUACCCACUCAGCUGCCAAAAGGUAGUGUAAAUACAGCAACAAAUAUGCUUAUCUCACCAGGCAGGCAAAGUGGAUGGAAGGCAGCCAGGAGCUGUAGCUGUAACCCUGCAUGCUGGGGCAGCUUCCUCCCUGCCUGCUGCUGCUUCCCUGCGCUAUCCAGUGCCUGGAACCGCGCAGCAGGGGCAGGAGAAGGAGAGGAGGAGAAGCUGCCACUUUUCAAACUCAGAUGACUAAAAUAAAGUUAACUUAAAACAUCUUUGGGCACCUAUCCAAAUUGAAGCGGCAGCUAGGCAAUUUCAUGGGCCAAUACUGGUGCUCACUGCUAUUUUCAUGGGUUUAUCACAGUGCCCGCCCUCCCCCAAGCCACUGAUUUGCUGAGGGGCCCAGCUGCCCUGCCUCUUGCCACCAAUUGGUAGAGGGCUGCCCUUCACAUGGCCCUGCCACUUGUUGCUGAUUGGUGGAGGCAGUGGGGUGUAUGAAAGGCAACCCUCAGCCAAUCAGCAGUGGAGGAAGCGGCUGCCAUCUUGGCUGCUCCCCUUUGUCCUAGCAGAUUCCCCCCAUAGUGGGCUGCGAGGCCAGGCCACAGCAGCCACUGGCUCCCACUCGGGAGCUAGCAUUUUAUUUUUAGUAAGGUUUUUUUUCUGGCAACUGCAUACAAAAUUGUGGAAACUGCUGUUUUUUGCAGUAUUCAUAGAAACCGCCGUUUUUCGUGGUUUCCAUGAAAAUGUGAUUUGAGUAGGUCCCUACACGUAAGUAUAUGAGUUCAGAGGUACUGAACUCCCCCUUUACCUCAGUUUGAGCUAAAGGUCCUUGCUGCUUCUGAAAAAAAAAAUCAAAACACCUAUAUAGAUGCCUAAAAAUAGGUACCACAUUUGAAAAUACUGGUUUAACCCUCAGCAGGAACUAGAACUUUGAACACUUCAAGACAGAGCUCGAAAGGAGAGCGAUGUUGUCAGGGGUGGAUCUGGGUGGAGGAGGGUAGCAGCAGUGUUACAGUGGCACCCCACUUUGAUUCCUGUUCCACUCAAACUUUAAAAACCAACUGCCUGGGAGAGGCAGCAGCAUUUCAAUUCAGGCAGUGAUGAGGGAGUCAAUUGUUUCUAUGCCUCAUUUUAAUGCAUCUGAUUCCUGUUAAUCUCUCUCCACUCCAGAGUGGUUAAUGAACCCACCUCUCUCUUUUUUAAUGAUUUUGAUGUUCCAUUAAUCAAGCUAUCCUUUCUUCUGCAAUUUUGCUGUCUGUUAGUUAUUAUUGGUUAGUUAUCCCUGCAGACUGUUUAAUUCAAGCUAAAAACCUUUACUCAAGUGUGGAAAUGACUGACAGUGAAGUGUUGGAAAUACUGUCAAGAUACUCAAGAAGGCUAGGUAUUGUAUUAUGAAUCUUAUUAAGAGAUGUACAUUUAACAAUAAUGACCACAUGACCAAUAAAACAAUAUUUUAUACUA
Alligator mississippiensis (American alligator) is the source of this 4551-nucleotide long non-coding RNA. RefSeq lists it as uncharacterized. The transcript has 2 exons. The record is from RefSeq and is a predicted model, not a curated record. Lineage: Eukaryota; Metazoa; Chordata; Crocodylia; Alligatoridae.